Molecule: long non-coding RNA, 705 nt
Filed under: Actinidia chinensis (golden kiwifruit)
Lineage: Eukaryota; Viridiplantae; Streptophyta; Magnoliopsida; Ericales; Actinidiaceae
Description: long non-coding RNA (ACHI_LNC007767)
Source: RNAcentral
CCCUCUUAAGUUAAUUAUACAAGCAUUGGAAUUGAAAAUUCCUUUAUACAUACAAAACCAUAAACUUUUAUAAAAAGCACACUAUCAUGUCUCUCUUCUAUAUUUCUUAUUCACACAAGGAAGUAUCUAUACAAAAAAAAAUCUAGGAAAAAUAAUUAUGAGCAAUGGCAAAAGGGUACAAAAAAAGAAAAACAGUAAUGCUGUAAUGACCAUAUUUAUACACUAACAAGAUUUUAAUCUCUAACAGAGUAAUUAUACAAACACAAAAAUUGAAAAGUACACCUUCCUACACGUAUAGAAAUUUACAAAAUCAUCUUCUUAUGCUAAAAUGAAGUACAGCAUCACAGUUUAUUUCUUCUCCUUUUUACAUACAAAUUAAGAAAGUAUCUCUAAAAAUGAAAAGACAAAAGAAAAGAAAAGGUCUAUAUGAUGUAUUGAGGAGAUCAAAGCCUAUGUUUGAUUGUAGUUUUCAAAAUCAAUUUUGCAAAUUAAUUUUCAGAAAUUGUUUUUUUUAAAAUGUUCAUCAUUUUCAUAUCUCAUUCAUUUUCAACGUAAAUAGUUUUUGAGAAUUUAAAAAUUCAUUUUAACGUUUUCUGAAAAAUAAUUUUGUUCGCAUAAAAUUCUAAAAAAAACAAGUUUCAAAAACCGUAAACCAAAAAGAAAAAUCUGAUUUUGAAAAUAGCAACCAAACAGUUCUCUACCUUA